This 468-nucleotide ribosomal RNA is filed under the name uncultured Glomus. RNAcentral's name for it is "SSU rRNA". It matches the Rfam family "Eukaryotic small subunit ribosomal RNA", at positions 569 to 1043 of the family's 1831-position model. Lineage: Eukaryota; Fungi; Glomeromycota; Glomeromycetes; Glomerales; Glomeraceae. The record is from RNAcentral.
AGCAGCCGCAGUAAUUUCAGCUCCAAUGGCGUAUAUUAAAGUUGUUGCAGUUAAAAAGCUCAUAGUUGAAUUUUGGGGUUAGCAAGCUGGUCGUGCCUUCGGUAUGUACUGGCUUUACUGAUUUCUCCUUCUUGACGAACCAUGAUGUCAUUAAUUUGGUGUUGCGGGAAAUCAGAACUGUUAAUUUGAAAAAAUUAGAGUGUUUAAAGCAGGCCAACGCUUGAAUACAUUAGCAUAGAAUAAUGAAAUAGGACGUUAAUCCUAUUUUGUUGGUUUCUAGGAUUGACAUAAUGAUUAAUAGGGAUAGUUGGGGCAUUAGUAUUCAAUUGUCAGAUGUGAAAUUCUUGGAUUUAUUGAAGACUAACUACUGCGAAAGCAUUUACCAAGGAUGUUUUCAUUAAUCAAGAACGAAAGUUAGGGGAUCAAAGAUGAUCAGAUACCAUCGUAGUCUUAACCAUAANCUAUGCC